Molecule: long non-coding RNA, 225 nt
Filed under: Mustela putorius furo (domestic ferret)
Lineage: Eukaryota; Metazoa; Chordata; Mammalia; Carnivora; Mustelidae
Description: lncRNA (ENSMPUG00000027081.1)
Source: RNAcentral
CAGCUCCCAAGAUGGUGCACUGGUCCCAGAAGAGGAAAGGAUGAGAGGGAGAUGUGAGCAGUUUACCGACAGAGGAAGAAGCCAAAGCAGUAGGAAAAGUUUACUAUCUGAGUGAGACCUGAAGGGUGAUUUAAUCUGGAACAAAAAGAAGUUACUAUGGCCACUCACCAUGCCAGGCACUCACUGUGCCAGAGACCACACUGAUUGACCUUGCCUUAUCUUCUA